ACCGAAGCUAUGGACUUGAAAAAGUGGUAGGGGAGCAUUGUAGUGUCGUCGAAGGUGUACUGCGAGGUAUGCUGGAGAAGCUACAAAAGAAAAUGUAGGCAUAAGUAACGAUAAUGCGGGCGAGAAACCCGCACACCGAAAGACUAAGGUUUCCUCAGCGAUGCUAAUCAGCUGAGGGUUAGUCGGGACCUAACGCGAACCCGAAAGGGGUAGUGGAUGGACAACGGGUUAAUAUUCCCGUACCGUUUUUUAUUGAUAUCGAGGGACGGAGAAGGCUAAGCUAGCCGGAUAUUGGUUUUACCGGUUUAAACGUUCGAGAUGUUGAGAAGCGGAGAAAACGCUUUGAGUUGAGACGUGAAUACGAGACGCUAAGGCGUCGAAGUAGUGUAUGUCAUACUUCCAAGAAAAGCUUGCACUGUCAUAAAUAAAAAAUGCCUGUACCAUAACCGACACAGGUGGGUAGGUAGAGUAUACUAAGGGGCGCGAGAUAACUCUCUUUAAGGAACUCGG
Molecule: ribosomal RNA, 510 nt
Filed under: Isochrysis galbana
Lineage: Eukaryota; Haptophyta; Isochrysidales; Isochrysidaceae
Description: partial Bacterial large subunit ribosomal RNA
Rfam family: Bacterial large subunit ribosomal RNA
Source: RNAcentral